Molecule: ribosomal RNA, 1328 nt
Filed under: uncultured bacterium
Lineage: Bacteria
Description: bacterial SSU rRNA
Rfam family: Bacterial small subunit ribosomal RNA
Source: RNAcentral
GGCGGCGUGCCUAAUACAUGCAAGUCGAACGAUGAUUCUCUAGCUUGCUAGAGUGGAUUAGUGGCGCACGGGUGAGUAAUGCAUAGAUAACAUGCCCUUUAGUCUAGGAUAGCCAUUGGAAACGAUGAUUAAUACUGGAUACUCCUUACGAGGGAAAGUUUUUCGCUAAAGGAUUGGUCUAUGUCCUAUCAGCUUGUUGGUGAGGUAAUGGCUCACCAAGGCUAUGACGGGUAUCCGGCCUGAGAGGGUGAACGGACACACUGGAACUGAGACACGGUCCAGACUCCUACGGGAGGCAGCAGUAGGGAAUAUUGCUCAAUGGGGGAAACCCUGAAGCAGCAACGCCGCGUGGAGGAUGAAGGUUUUCGGAUUGUAAACUCCUUUUGUUAGAGAAGAUAAUGACGGUAUCUAACGAAUAAGCACCGGCUAACUCCGUGCCAGCAGCCGCGGUAAUACGGAGGGUGCAAGCGUUACUCGGAAUCACUGGGCGUAAAGAGCGCGUAGGCGGGAUAGCAAGUCAGAUGUGAAAUCCUAUGGCUUAACCAUAGAACUGCAUUUGAAACUGUUAUUCUAGAGUAUGGGAGAGGUAGGUGGAAUUCUUGGUGUAGGGGUAAAAUCCGUAAGAGAUCAUGAGGAAUACUCCUUUGCGAAGGCGGCCUGCUCGAACAAUAACUAACGGCUGAAUGCGCGAAAGGCGUUGGGGAGCAAACAGGAUUUAGGAUACCCUGGUAGUCCUACGCCCCUAAAACGAUGAGUGCUAGUUGUUGUGGAGCUUGUCUCUGCAGUAAUGCAGCUAACGCACUAAGCAUUCCGCCUGGGGGAGUACGGUCGCAAGAUUAAAACUCAAAGGAAAUAGACGGGGACCCGCACAAGCGGUGGAGCAUGUGGUUUAAUUCGAAGAUACACGAAGAACCUUACCUAGGCUUGACAUUGAUAGAAUCCGCUAGAGAUAGUGGAGUGCUAGCUUGCUAGAACUUGAAAACAGGUGCUGCACGGCUGUCGUCAGCUCGUGUCGUGAGAUGUUGGGUUAAGUCCCGCAACGAGCGCAACCCUCGUCCUUAGUUGCUAACUAUUCGGUAGAGCACUCUAAGGAGACUGCCUUCGCAAGGAGGAGGAAGGUGAGGAUGACGUCAAGUCAUCAUGGCCCUUACGCCUAGGGCUACACACGUGCUACAAUGGGAAGCACAAAGAGAUGCAAUAUUGUGAAAUGGAGCAAAUCUAUAAAACUUCUCUCAGUUCGGAUUGUAGUCUGCAACUCGACUACAUGAAGCUGGAAUCGCUAGUAAUCGUAAAUCAGCUAUGUUACGGUGAAUACGUUCCCGGGUCUU